CGACCUCGGAUUGUACGAGACUACCCGCUGGAUUUAAGCAUAUUAAUAAGCG
Molecule: ribosomal RNA, 52 nt
Filed under: Pauropsylla buxtoni
Lineage: Eukaryota; Metazoa; Arthropoda; Insecta; Hemiptera; Triozidae
Description: partial 28S ribosomal RNA
Source: RNAcentral